CGCGGGAUAGAGCAGUGACGGCUCGUCAGGCUCAUAACCCGGAUGUCGUCGGUUUGAAUCCAACUCCCGCUACCA
This 75-nucleotide transfer RNA is filed under the name subsurface metagenome. RNAcentral describes it as "tRNA-Met". It matches the Rfam family "tRNA". From Rfam's summary of the family: Transfer RNA (tRNA) molecules are approximately 80 nucleotides in length. Their secondary structure includes four short double-helical elements and three loops (D, anti-codon, and T loops). The record is from RNAcentral.